UACAAGAACGAGGUGCA
RNAcentral lists this unclassified non-coding RNA (17 nucleotides) under Mus musculus (house mouse). RNAcentral describes it as "oocyte_clustered_small_RNA11192". Lineage: Eukaryota; Metazoa; Chordata; Mammalia; Rodentia; Muridae. The record is from RNAcentral.